RNAcentral lists this long non-coding RNA (1449 nucleotides) under Macaca nemestrina (pig-tailed macaque). RNAcentral describes it as "lncRNA (ENSMNEG00000045664.1)". Lineage: Eukaryota; Metazoa; Chordata; Mammalia; Primates; Cercopithecidae. The record is from RNAcentral.
AAGAAAGGCAGCUCCACCCUAGGACACAGGUGGGCGUCAUGACCAUGACAACCAGCAAGCCGAGGGGACGUUCGGGACAAGAGGGAUGGUGGACAUAGGAGGGCACCUCAGGCUCAGCCCCCAGCAGGCCCAGAGCACACAGCUGCCAGAAAGGAGUUCCGGCCCGGGGUUCCAGGCCUGUUUGCUAUGGAAGAGCAGGCUCCUGGAGCAUCGCCAAGGCCCGUUGCCUGGAUGGAGGCAGUUUCCACGCGGCACAUUUGGGUGGAAACGCCUAGAGGGAGAAUCUGCAGAAUCUGGGGGCACCUCACACCGGACGCUUCUCGGGCCCUCCGCAGGUGCGGCCAGGCUUGGGCCCUGACUGUCUCCCAGGUGACCUCCAUCUCUGCCCCACCAGCCCGGCUCUGGACCCUGGCCUGCAGAAGGCCCCUCACCACGCCGACAGGGGCCUGUAAAAUGCAAACCCAGCUGUAUCCACCAACUGCUUCCACCACGCAGGUGAAGCUGCCUUCUGCCCAGGGCCAGGAGCUCACGGGGCGUGGCCCGGCCACCUCGGCGACUUCAUGGAGCACCACCCACCUUCACCCUUCACUGAGCCCCCACAGCCCUGCGCCUCGGGGACCCACCCCGGCGGGGCUCGCUCCAGGAGGGGGCUGGGCUGUCGCUGGCUCCACUGGGCCCCUCACACAUGCUGUUCCCACCUCUGGAACACGGUUCCUGACUACUCCCGUCACCUCACCCCACUCACUUGGAAAGGUGGACGCCCGUCACAGCCCCACCCCGACCUGUGUAGCUCUGUGUGGGGCCCUGGCCGCGCUGUAAGUUCCACAAGCCUCUGUGGACCUCGCGGGUGGCCGUCUCUCCCCAUGCCCAGCACAGUAGCCAGCACAUCCUGGAGGUGCACGCGGUGUGUGCCAGGUGAGCUGAUGUCUACAGAGCUGCCACCUGCCACUCUGCCGUCCACCUGCAUUACUGGGUUUCUGGGCCGUUCCAUUUAUCCUUCAGAUGAACACAGUCGCUCUCCUCCUUCCUGCUCUUUCUCUGCUCCGAAAGCCCCCUUGCUUCGGUGUCUGGGAUCUGAUGGGUAAAGUCUGAUUUCACACUCAGUCCUCUGUGGUGCCACAGACCGUCCAAGGCCUGGUUCUGUCGGCCCAGCCCCACCCUCAGCUCUCGGCCAGGCCCCUGCGCACUUUGCUGACCGUUAUCAAGGUCGUUUCUGGGUACAAGCGUGUGGCUUCCCGAGGAGAGUGUGAACAUUCCCACAACAUCCAGGGAAUCUCGAGUGUCCUCUUGUGCACAGAAGCAAACACGUGCUCACGGUCACACAAACAGAAAUGUGUCUGUGGACAUGCAUCACACGUGUGUGCUUACCCACACUCAUGCCCACACACAGGCUCGGGCACACAUGCUCACACGCGCACAUGUGUGCACACAGGUCAGAGUAGCAGGAGU